This 390-nucleotide ribosomal RNA is filed under the name uncultured bacterium. RNAcentral describes it as "bacterial SSU rRNA". It matches the Rfam family "Bacterial small subunit ribosomal RNA", at positions 28 to 416 of the family's 1533-position model. The record is from RNAcentral.
GACGAACGCUGGCGGCGUGCUUAACACAUGCAAGUCGAACGGUGACGGAGGAGCUUGCUCCUCCUGAUCAGUGGCGAACGGGUGAGUAACACGUGAGUAACCUGCCCCAGACUCUGGAAUAACAGUUGGAAACAGCUGCUAAUACCGGAUACGAGACGGAGAGGCAUCUCUACCGUCUGGAAAGUUUUUCGGUCUGGGAUGGACUCGCGGCCUAUCAGCUUGUUGGUGAGGUAACGGCUCACCAAGGCGACGACGGGUAGCCGGCCUGAGAGGGCGACCGGCCACACUGGGACUGAGACACGGCCCAGACUCCUACGGGAGGCAGCAGUGGGGAAUAUUGCACAAUGGGCGAAAGCCUGAUGCAGCAACGCCGCGUGAGGGAUGACGGCC